GCGAGGAUGAAUAUACUUGGUGUUGAUCGUAAUGAUGUUUCCUCUAAGAAGUUCUGAGCUC
Molecule: small nucleolar RNA, 61 nt
Filed under: Scophthalmus maximus (turbot)
Lineage: Eukaryota; Metazoa; Chordata; Actinopteri; Pleuronectiformes; Scophthalmidae
Description: Small nucleolar RNA SNORD61 (ENSSMAG00000022300.1)
Rfam family: Small nucleolar RNA SNORD61
About the family: U61 belongs to the C/D class of snoRNA which contain the C (UGAUGA) and D (CUGA) box motifs. Most of the members of the box C/D family function in directing site-specific 2'-O-methylation of substrate RNAs.
Source: Rfam by way of RNAcentral